GUAAAAUUUCCGCCGUAGAAGCUGUACCACGUGGUAAGAUAGUGUGGCUAGGCCGCGUGACUAUUUUAAGCCACUGUUAGGUUAAACUGUAGUACUAAUAAUUUCAUUCUCAGGCCCGAGGGUUUUUGUUUUGUUUUGUUUUUUGAGACAGAGUCUCUCACUGUCGCCCAAGCUGGAGUGCAGUGGCGCGAUCUUGACUCACUGCAACCUCCGCCUCCCGGGUUUAAACGAUUCUCCUGCCUCAGCCCCUCAAGUAGCUGGGACUACAGGCGCAUGCCACCACACCCAGCUAAUUUUUGUAUUUUUAGUAGAGACGAGAUUUCACUACGUUGGCCAGACUGGUGUCGAACUCCUGACCUCAGGUGAUCCACCCGCCUCGGUCUCCCGAAGUGCUGGGAUUACAGGCAUGAGCCACCGCGCCCAGGCUUUUAAUCCAGGGGUAGCACAACACCUAGGGAAAAAAUUUAAUGCUUCCAGUUUGUCUCUGUCUUUGACUCUUAAAGGGCCCAAACGUUGUCCGGCUGUUUACAGCUUUGGUCAAUACAGGAGAGAAGGAUUCGUCACUUUUCUGAAGGCCCUCCUGCAUAGAGGAAACCUGCUGUAACUGGCAGUUUUGUUGUUUGCUACACCCAACUGUAGGGCAUCCUUUCUUCUGCAUCAUUUCCCAGAGGGGCAGGUGUCAGGCCUCUGAGCCCAAGCUAAGCCAUCAUAUCCCCUGUGACCUGCACGUAUACAUCCAGAUGGCCUGAAGCAACUGAAGAUCCACAAAGAAGUGAAAAUAGCCUUAACUGAUGACAUUCACCAUUGUGAUUUGUUUCUGCCCCACCCUAACUGAUCAAUGUACUUUGUAAUCUCCCCACCCUUAAGAAGGUUCUUUGUAAUUCUCCCCACCCUUGAGAAUGUACUUUGUGAGAUCCACCCCCUGCCCACAAAACAUUGCUCCUAACUCCACCGCCUAUCCCAAAACCUGUAAGAACUAAUGAUAAUCCACCACCCUUUGCUGAACUCUCUUUUCCGACUCAUCCCACCUGCACCCAGGUGAAAUAAACAGGCUUGUUGUUCACACAAAGCCUGUUUGGUGGUCUCUUCACACGGACACGUGACAGCAGGGAGGGUAUACGUGGGGUGGCUCCUCUUCGGGGUUAUGACAAGCGAGGCCCAGCGUAGGCAGUGUAGGUCCACUGUGCUUGCCAAACACCAAGAGGGCUGUCAUCUGGGUGGAUUCUUAGAAAUGCAGAUUCCUGGCCUGGCACGGUGGCUGUAAUCCCAGCACUUUGGGAGGCUGAGGCGGGUG
Molecule: long non-coding RNA, 1294 nt
Filed under: Homo sapiens (human)
Lineage: Eukaryota; Metazoa; Chordata; Mammalia; Primates; Hominidae
Description: non-protein coding lnc-OIP5-3:1
Source: RNAcentral